Long non-coding RNA from Pipra filicauda (Wire-tailed manakin), 370 nucleotides. RefSeq lists it as uncharacterized. The transcript has 3 exons. The record is from RefSeq and is a predicted model, not a curated record. NCBI's taxonomy places the organism in Eukaryota, Metazoa, Chordata, Aves, Passeriformes, Pipridae.
UUUUUUUUUUUCUAUUAUUAUAAAUAGCCCAUUUUUUCCUCGGCACUCUUUGGAAUGUGAUUUAAAAAUACCACCUAAAGUCGCAGUUUGGGGAAAAGGUUUCUGGACGAGGAGAAUAGCUCGCAAGCAAGGAAUGGGCUAGUAUUAGAAACCUGUACCAACAGCAGGCCAGACUCAAAUAUCAGCUAUGGCAACCCAUGCAUGAAGUUGAUGCCUUUGAACUAUUUCCUAUAGAUGAGACAUAGCACAUACUGUGGAAUUAAACCCCUGUUGAUUAGGGUAGAAGUGAGCUGCUGCUGACUACUUCUGUAACUCCCAAGGCAGUCAUGACUUGCUGUUGGAGAAGCACAGCUUUAUGAGAAGAGUCUGC